AGACUAUGAUGUGGAUAGCUCUAGAAAAAGAUCCUUGAACCGCUCCCAAUAAUCAUACAAGGUUUCAUUCUCUUGUUGAAGAAAUUCUACUUGUCAUUCAUCAGCUU
Ricinus communis (castor bean) is the source of this 107-nucleotide non-coding RNA. NCBI's taxonomy places the organism in Eukaryota, Viridiplantae, Streptophyta, Magnoliopsida, Malpighiales, Euphorbiaceae. The record is from Rfam.